AAAUGAAUUUUUUAUACUUAAAUAAACUAUGACUUGUUUUGUAUUUUUUAUUUCUUGCAGCGGUAAUAUGGCGCUAAAACAAAACGUUGGUUUUUCAUACAAUCUUUUGUAAGAUUUGCAUGCUAAUCGCUGAAAUGGAAAUUCCUAGGAGAUACUCACAAAAAAGCACUUCUCUGUGUUAAACAAUUCACGUCUUGGGUAGUAAACCCAGUCAAUUCGACCCUCUUAGAUGAGAGUUGGUUAGCAGUAUUCAUUUAAUUGUUUUCGGACGAGCUAGUUUUUCUGAGCCAGAGUGCACUUCCGUGGGAACGUUAAGAAUCUUGAAGACAUGUUAUGGUUCUCUUGGAUAGAUACGAAACUGAAGGCGGCAAUUUCGUUAUCCGGAGAUGUACUUGCGACACAUAGAUAAAAAAGAUGAUUAUUAAAGC
Schizosaccharomyces pombe (fission yeast) is the source of this 428-nucleotide non-coding RNA. Lineage: Eukaryota; Fungi; Ascomycota; Schizosaccharomycetes; Schizosaccharomycetales; Schizosaccharomycetaceae. The record is from the annotation of a GenBank genome assembly.